RNAcentral lists this unclassified non-coding RNA (302 nucleotides) under sea anemone metagenome. Its description in RNAcentral is "partial contains small subunit ribosomal RNA and internal transcribed spacer 1". The stretch from base 1 to 153 matches the Rfam family "Eukaryotic small subunit ribosomal RNA", at positions 1678 to 1831 of the family's 1831-position model. The record is from RNAcentral.
GCUCCUACCGAUUGAGUGAUCCGGUGAAUUAUUCGGACUGACGCAGUGCUCAGCUUCUGGACGUUGCGUUGGAAAGUUUCAUGAACCUUAUCACUUAGAGGAAGGAGAAGUCGUAACAAGGUAUCCGUAGGUGAACCUGCAGAAGGAUCAUUGAUCCUUCUGCAGGUUCACCUACGGCUACCUUGUUACGACUUCACCCCAGUCGCUGACCCUACCGUGGCCUGCUGCUUCCAAAAGGUUAGCACACAGUCUUCGGGUAAAACCAACUCCCAUGGUGUGACGGGCGGUGUGUACGAGACGGA